This 460-nucleotide ribosomal RNA is filed under the name uncultured bacterium. RNAcentral's name for it is "partial 16S ribosomal RNA". It matches the Rfam family "Bacterial small subunit ribosomal RNA", at positions 338 to 795 of the family's 1533-position model. The record is from RNAcentral.
CCUACGGGCGGCAGCAGUGAGGAAUAUUGGUCAAUGGGCGCGAGCCUGAACCAGCCAAGCAGCGUGAAGGAUGACUGUCCUACGGGUUGUAAACUUCUUUUAUAAAGGAAUAAAGUGAGGCACGUGUGCCUUUUUGUGUGUACUUUAUGAAUAAGGAUCGGCUAACUCCGUGCCAGCAGCCGCGGUAAUACGGAGGAUCCGAGCGUUAUCCGGAUUUAUUGGGUUUAAAGGGAGCGUAGAUGGGUUGUUAAGUCAGUUGUGAAAGUGUGCGGCUCAACCGUAAAAUUGCAGUUGAUACUGGCAGCCUUGAGAACAGUUGAGGUAGGCGGAAUUCGUGGUGUAGCGGUGAAAUGCUUAGAUAUCACGAAGAACUCCGAUUGCGAAGGCAGCUUACUAAACUGCCACUGACAUUGAUGCUCGAAAGUGUGGGUAUCAAACAGGAUUAGAUACCCGAGUAGUC